This 292-nucleotide ribosomal RNA is filed under the name uncultured bacterium. Its description in RNAcentral is "partial 16S ribosomal RNA". It matches the Rfam family "Bacterial small subunit ribosomal RNA", at positions 505 to 796 of the family's 1533-position model. The record is from RNAcentral.
GUGUCAGCCGCCGCGGUAAUACGGAGGGUGCAAGCGUUGCUCGGAAUUACUGGGCGUAAAGCGCGUGUAGGCGGUUUCGUGUGUCUGAUGUGAAAUCCCCGGGCUCAACCCGGGAAGUGCAUUGGAAACUGCGAGACUAGAGUCCCGGAGAGGAAGGUGGAAUUCCAGGUGUAGCGGUGAAAUGCGUAGAUAUCUGGAAGAACACCGGUGGCGAAGGCGGCCUUCUGGACGGUGACUGACGCUGAGACGCGAAAGCGUGGGGAGCAAACAGGAUUAGAAACCCCUGUAGUCC